RNAcentral lists this ribosomal RNA (391 nucleotides) under Tremella macrobasidiata. RNAcentral's name for it is "eukaryotic LSU rRNA". It matches the Rfam family "Eukaryotic large subunit ribosomal RNA", at positions 1 to 388 of the family's 3401-position model. Lineage: Eukaryota; Fungi; Basidiomycota; Tremellomycetes; Tremellales; Tremellaceae. The record is from RNAcentral.
GACCUCAAAUCAGGUAGGGCUACCCGCUGAACUUAAGCAUAUCAAUAAGCGGAGGAAAAGAAACUAACAAGGAUUCCCCUAGUAGCGGCGAGCGAAGCGGGAUGAGCUCAAAUUUGUAAUCUGGCGUCCUCUGGGCGUCCGAGUUGUAAUCUAUAGAAGCGUUUUCCGUGCCGGACCGUGUCCAAGUCCCUUGGAACAGGGUAUCAAAGAGGGUGACAAUCCCGUGCUUGACACGACGACCGGUGCUCUGUGAUACGCUCUCUACGAGUCGAGUUGUUUGGGAAUGCAGCUCAAAAUGGGUGGUAAAUUCCGUCUAAAGCUAAAUAUUGGCGAGAGACCGAUAGCGAACAAGUACCGUGAGGGAAAGAUGAAAAGCACUUGGAAAGAGAGU